RNAcentral lists this ribosomal RNA (495 nucleotides) under uncultured bacterium. Its description in RNAcentral is "partial 16S ribosomal RNA". It matches the Rfam family "Bacterial small subunit ribosomal RNA", at positions 28 to 507 of the family's 1533-position model. The record is from RNAcentral.
GACGAACGCUGGCGGCGUGCCUAAUACAUGCAAGUAGAACGCUGAAGGAGGAGCUUGCUUCUCUGGAUGAGUUGCGAACGGGUGAGUAACGCGUAGGUAACCUGCCUGGUAGCGGGGGAUAACUAUUGGAAACGAUAGCUAAUACCGCAUAAUAGUAGAUGUUGCAUGACAUUUGCUUAAAAGGUGCAAUUGCAUCACUACCAGAUGGACCUGCGUUGUAUUAGCUAGUUGGUGAGGUAACGGCUCACCAAGGCAACGAGACAUAGCCGACCUGAGAGGGUGAGCGGCCACGCUGGGACUGGGACACGGCCCAGACUCCUACGGGAGGCAGCAGUAGGGAAUCUUCGGCAAUGGACGGAAGUCUGACCGAGCAACGCCGCGUGAGUGAAGAAGGUUUUCGGAUCGUAAAGCUCUGUUGUAAGAGAAGAACGAGUGGGAGAGUGGAAAGUGCACACUGUGACGGUAUCUUAACAGAAAGCGACGGCUAACUACGUG